AAGCCGGCCGCGGACGCGCCGCUCGCCAACCGGGUCAGGUCCGGAAGGAAGCAGCCCUAACGAGUUUCGGCGCGGGUCGUGCGCCGGUUUCCC
This 93-nucleotide signal recognition particle RNA is filed under the name Bauldia sp. RNAcentral describes it as "signal recognition particle sRNA small type". It matches the Rfam family "Bacterial small signal recognition particle RNA". From Rfam's summary of the family: The signal recognition particle (SRP) is a universally conserved ribonucleoprotein involved in the co-translational targeting of proteins to membranes. Lineage: Bacteria; Pseudomonadati; Pseudomonadota; Alphaproteobacteria; Hyphomicrobiales; Kaistiaceae. The record is from RNAcentral.